UACAGAGGUCUCAAGCGUUGUUCGGAUUCAUUGGGCGUAAAGGGUGCGUAGGCGGUGGGGCAAGUCAGGUGUGAAAUCCCGGAGCUCAACUCCGGAACUGCACUUGAUACUGCUUUACUAGAGUACUGGAGAGGAGACUGGAAUUUACGGUGUAGCAGUGAAAUGCGUAAAUAUCGUAAGGAAGACCAGUGGCGAAGGCGAGUCUCUGGACAGUUACUGACGCUGAGGCACGAAGGCCAGGGGAGCAAACGGG
RNAcentral lists this ribosomal RNA (253 nucleotides) under uncultured bacterium. RNAcentral's name for it is "partial 16S ribosomal RNA". It matches the Rfam family "Bacterial small subunit ribosomal RNA", at positions 524 to 776 of the family's 1533-position model. The record is from RNAcentral.